AGCUUUAAGAACAUAUUUUAAGUUACUUCUGCCCAGCGUUUAUAUUAGCGGCCGCAGUACCUUGACUGUGCUAAGGUAGCAUAAUCAAUUGGCUUUUAAUUGAAGUCUGGAAUGAAAGGUUUUAUAAAGAAUUAACUGUCUCUUUAAAAUUUUAAUGAAUUUAUUUAAAAAGUGAAAAUACUUUUUUAUAGAAAAAAGACGAGAAGACCCUUAGAAUUUUAAUUAAUUAAUUUAUUUAAAUUAUAUAUUUUUGUUGGGGCGACAAUGAAACAAUCAACUUUCAAUUAAAAACAAAUCAUUUUUUUAAAAGAUUAAAUUACCUUAGGGAUAACAGCAUAAUGAAUAAUUUAGUUUGUGACCUCGAUGUUGGACUAGGAACUAAAAGACUAACAGUCAUAAUAGAAUGUUCUGUUCGAACAAAAUUUCCU
RNAcentral lists this ribosomal RNA (428 nucleotides) under Austropeplea tomentosa. RNAcentral describes it as "partial 16S ribosomal RNA". Lineage: Eukaryota; Metazoa; Mollusca; Gastropoda; Lymnaeidae. The record is from RNAcentral.